UAGUGUUUGAUCCUGGCUCAGCAUAUAAAGAAGUCGUAACAAGGUAACCGUAAGUCGUAACAAGUUAACCGUAGAGUUUGAUCAUGGCUCAGCUUUGACUUAAAAAAAUGGAGAAGUCGUAACGAGGUAACCGUAGAGUUUGAUCCUGGCUCAGCCUUUGACUUAAAAAAAUGGAGAAGUCGUAACAAGGUAACCCUAA
Molecule: ribosomal RNA, 199 nt
Filed under: uncultured bacterium
Lineage: Bacteria
Description: partial 16S ribosomal RNA
Source: RNAcentral